Molecule: ribosomal RNA, 253 nt
Filed under: uncultured bacterium
Lineage: Bacteria
Description: partial 16S ribosomal RNA
Rfam family: Bacterial small subunit ribosomal RNA
Source: RNAcentral
UACGUAGGGUCCGAGCGUUGUCCGGCAUUAUUGGGCGUAAAGAGCUCGUAGGCGGUUUGUCGCGUCUGCUGUGAAAUCCCGAGGCUCAACCUCGGGCCUGCAGUGGGUACGGGCAGACUGGAGUGCGGUAGGGGAGAAUGGAAUUCCUGGUGUAGCGGUGGAAUGCGCAGAUAUCAGGAGGAACACCGAUGGCGAAGGCAGUUCUCUGGGCCGUAACUGACGCUGAGGAGCGAAAGCGUGGGGAGCGAACAGG